RNAcentral lists this ribosomal RNA (500 nucleotides) under uncultured bacterium. RNAcentral's name for it is "partial 16S ribosomal RNA". It matches the Rfam family "Bacterial small subunit ribosomal RNA", at positions 30 to 523 of the family's 1533-position model. The record is from RNAcentral.
AUUGAACGCUGGCGGCAUGCCUUACACAUGCAAGUCGAACGGCAGCACGGGAGUAAUCCUGGUGGCGAGUGGCGAACGGGUGAGUAAUGUAUCGGAACGUGCCCAAUCGUGGGGGAUAACGCAGCGAAAGCUGUGCUAAUACCGCAUACGAUCUAUGGAUGAAAGCGGGGGAUCGCAAGACCUCGCGCGAUUGGAGCGGCCGAUAUCAGAUUAGCUAGUUGGUGGGGUAAAAGCUUACCAAGGCGACGAUCUGUAGCUGGUCUGAGAGGACGACCAGCCACACUGGAACUGAGACACGGUCCAGACUCCUACGGGAGGCAGCAGUGGGGAAUUUUGGACAAUGGGCGCAAGCCUGAUCCAGCAAUGCCGCGUGCAGGAUGAAGGCCUUCGGGUUGUAAACUGCUUUUGUACGGAGCGAAAAGGCUCUCUCUAAUACAGGGGGCUCAUGACGGUACCGUAAGAAUAAGCACCGGCUAACUACGUGCCAGCCGCCGCCGUAA